ACUCCUACGGGAGGCAGCAGUGAGGAAUAUUGGACAAUGGGUGAGAGCCUGAUCCAGCCAUCCCGCGUGAAGGACUAAGGCCCUAUGGGUUGUAAACUUCUUUUAUACUGGGAUAAACCUACUUACGUGUAAGUAGCUGAAGGUACAGUAUGAAUAAGCACCGGCUAACUCCGUGCCAGCAGCCGCGGUAAUACGGAGGGGUGCAAGCGUUAUCCGGAUUUAUGGGUUUAAAGGGUCCGUAGGCGGAUCUGUAAGUCAGUGGUGAAAUCUCAUAGCUUAACUAUGAAACUGCCAUUGAUACUGCAGGUCUUGAGUGAGAUUGAGGUAGCUGGAAUAAGUAGUGUAGCGGUGAAAUGCAUAGAUAUUACUUAGAACACCAAUUGCGAAGGCAGGUUACCAAGUCUUAACUGACGCUGAUGGACGAAAGCGUGGGGAGCGAACAGGAUUAGAUACCCUGGUAGGUCAGUC
This 468-nucleotide ribosomal RNA is filed under the name uncultured bacterium. RNAcentral describes it as "bacterial SSU rRNA". It matches the Rfam family "Bacterial small subunit ribosomal RNA", at positions 335 to 800 of the family's 1533-position model. The record is from RNAcentral.